RNAcentral lists this small nuclear RNA (100 nucleotides) under Otolemur garnettii (small-eared galago). Lineage: Eukaryota; Metazoa; Chordata; Mammalia; Primates; Galagidae. The record is from RNAcentral.
GCUCACUUCAGCAACAUGUAAAAUUGGAAUCACACAGAGAAGAUUAGCAUGGCCUCUGUGCAAGGAUGACAUGCAAAUUCAUGAUGCGUUCCAUAUUUAA